UUUUUAUGAGAGUUUGAUCCUGGCUCAGGACGAACGCUGGCGGCGUGCCUAAUACAUGCAAGUCGAACGCUUCUUUUUCCACCGGAGCUUGCUCCACCGGAAAAAGAAGAGUGG
Molecule: ribosomal RNA, 114 nt
Filed under: Enterococcus faecium
Lineage: Bacteria; Bacillati; Bacillota; Bacilli; Lactobacillales; Enterococcaceae
Description: partial 16S ribosomal RNA
Rfam family: Bacterial small subunit ribosomal RNA
Source: RNAcentral